GACUGCAGUCUGCAACUCGACUGCACGAAGCUGGAAUCGCUAGUAAUCGCGGAUCAGCACGCCGCGGUGAAUACGUUCCCGGGCCUUGUACACACCGCCCGUCACACCAUGGAAGUCUGCAAUGCCCGAAGCCGGUGGCCUAACCACUUAUGUGGAAGGAGCCGUCUAAGGCAGGGCAGAUGACUGGGGUGAAGUCGUAACAAGGUAGC
This 209-nucleotide ribosomal RNA is filed under the name uncultured bacterium. RNAcentral's name for it is "partial 16S ribosomal RNA". It matches the Rfam family "Bacterial small subunit ribosomal RNA", at positions 1296 to 1500 of the family's 1533-position model. The record is from RNAcentral.